ACAGUCACAUCACGUUGAAACACCGCUUCCCAUAUGAUCACCGGAGUUAAGCAAUGUCGAGCCUGGUCAGUACCUUGAGGGUCACAGCUUGGGAAUGCCAGGUGCUAUAA
Molecule: non-coding RNA, 110 nt
Organism: Acanthosepion pharaonis
Lineage: Eukaryota; Metazoa; Mollusca; Cephalopoda; Sepiida; Sepiidae
Source: the annotation of a GenBank genome assembly